AGGAAAAAAGAAACAUCUGAGUAUCCUAAAAUAAAAUCAACCGAGUAAGGGAAAGUAUUGGCGAAAGAAAUCCUAAGACACUGCUUAACUCAAAUUUCAGGAGUAAAU
This 108-nucleotide ribosomal RNA is filed under the name Alexandrium margalefii. RNAcentral describes it as "partial Archaeal large subunit ribosomal RNA". The record is from RNAcentral. Lineage: Eukaryota; Dinophyceae; Gonyaulacales; Pyrocystaceae.